UCACGAGAUUUAAACAGUUGUUCUUGGAAACAUUAUCGUCGCCAAAGUUGAAGAAGAUUUGAGAGUUAGGGUUUCAUUUGAAGACGAAGACGAUGCUGAUGGUGGUCGGGUCAGGUGUGGGUGGCGGCGUGGCGCUAUGGUUGUCGGAUUUGGUGGGUUAGCCGGAUUUGGGGGUGUACGGUUAUCGGAUUUGGUGGGUCAUGUGUCUAAUAAUUAACCAGAGUAGAGUCGGUUAAACAACAACAGCAACAUGAAGGAGCUGUGAUUCAGUGGGAUAGGUUUUUGCCUCUUAGGUCUCUCAAAGUUCUGCUUGUAGAAGAUGAUGACUCGACUCGUCGUGUUGUCAGCGUGCUGCUGCAUAAUUGCAGCUAUGAAGGUCUGUUGUAACUAUUGUAUUACGGAUAUUAGUUGAGUGUUACUUGUUUAGUGGUCAAUGAACUGAGAAAAAUCGAGAUAGUCUUAUUUUUGAAUGCUUUGUAUGUGAUACUGUCAAUUCCCACAUGCUUUAUAUGUGAUACUGUUGAUUCCCACUUGUAAUUUGAAUGAUACUGUUCUAA
This 557-nucleotide long non-coding RNA is filed under the name Helianthus annuus (common sunflower). RNAcentral's name for it is "sRNA HanXRQr2_Chr07g0310551". Lineage: Eukaryota; Viridiplantae; Streptophyta; Magnoliopsida; Asterales; Asteraceae. The record is from RNAcentral.